Molecule: transfer RNA, 58 nt
Filed under: Dipodomys ordii (Ord's kangaroo rat)
Lineage: Eukaryota; Metazoa; Chordata; Mammalia; Rodentia; Heteromyidae
Rfam family: tRNA
About the family: Transfer RNA (tRNA) molecules are approximately 80 nucleotides in length.
Source: Rfam by way of RNAcentral
UAGCUCAGCGGGAGAGUGCAUGCCUUGCAAGCAUGAGGCCCUGGGUUCGAUUCCUCAG